ACAAACCAAACCCUCCUGUUGCUCCCACAACUCCCCCUAGCACCAGCCCUACCUCCCCAUCCCCCAAAUCUCCAUCUCCUCAGUACCCUCAUCACCCUCCUGGGACCUCACCAUCACCAGCAUCAGUGGCUAACCCUCCAGCCACCUCACCAUCACCAGUAGUGGCUAGCCCUCCUGCCACCUCCCCAUCACCAGUGGGCUACCCUCCUGCCACCUCCCCAUCGCCAGUGGGCUACCCUCCUGCCACCUCACCAUCACCAGUGGGCUACCCUCCUGCCACCUCACCAUCACCAGUGGGAUACACUCCUGCCACCUCACCAUCCCCAUCAACAACAACAUCUCCAGCGCUAGCGCCAGGUCCAUCUUCAUCCCUUACACCAUUUCCUUCUCCACCCUCACCGCCCCCCGAGGGGCCCACACCGCCCUCCGAGGGGCCCACACCGGC
This 445-nucleotide long non-coding RNA is filed under the name Prunus persica (peach). RNAcentral's name for it is "long non-coding RNA (PPER_LNC004148)". Lineage: Eukaryota; Viridiplantae; Streptophyta; Magnoliopsida; Rosales; Rosaceae. The record is from RNAcentral.